GAUGAACGCUGGCGGCGUGCUUAACACAUGCAAGUCGAACGGUGAAGCAGGAGCUUGCUCUUGUGGAUCAGUGGCGAACGGGUGAGUAACACGUGAGCAACCUGCCCCUGACUCUGGGAUAAGCGCUGGAAACGGCGUCUAAUACUGGAUAUGUGAUGUGACCGCAUGGUCUGCAUCUGGAAAGAAUUUCGGUUGGGGAUGGGCUCGCGGCCUAUCAGCUUGUUGGUGAGGUAAUGGCUCACCAAGGCGUCGACGGGUAGCCGGCCUGAGAGGGUGACCGGCCACACUGGGACUGAGACACGGCCCAGACUCCUACGGGAGGCAGCAGUGGGGAAUAUUGCACAAUGGGCGGAAGCCUGAUGCAGCAACGCCGCGGGAGGGAUGACGGCCUUCGGGUUGUAAACCUCUUUUAGCAGGGAAGAAGCGGAAGUGACGGUACCUGCAGAAAAAGCACCGGCUAACUACGUGCCAGCCGCCGCAGUAA
This 484-nucleotide ribosomal RNA is filed under the name uncultured bacterium. Its description in RNAcentral is "partial 16S ribosomal RNA". It matches the Rfam family "Bacterial small subunit ribosomal RNA", at positions 28 to 523 of the family's 1533-position model. The record is from RNAcentral.